UUACCACACCUCCCCUGCCUUAAAACACUUAAUAUUUGGUCAUGCCCGAAGAUUACAGAUCUUAAGACAACAUCCGGCCCAUCUAAUUUGACAAUAACAGUGCGGUAGUAGAAAAGGUGAAACAUGGAGCAAGGCUAUCUACGCCAUGCUAGAGAGGCAAUUAUAUGGUGAAUAUGCAUGAGGAGAUUAUUACACGGUUGCAGAAGUGCUUGGAUGCAUAGGCGCUUCCAUCAAAGACUGGGGUGUGGGUUUAAGUGUGGUUAGGCUGGUGGGGUCCCACUAUGAGCUAGUAGCAUUGGUUCUGGGUCUCGGAUACAAAAACUUGACUACCAAGGUGUUGGGGUUUUCAAAAUUGGUUGUAAAUUUGAAUGAUUUUGUUGCCAAAAAAAAAAAAACUGAAUGAUCCACAAAACUAAACAAACUUUGAGACUUUUUUAUAAUUUGUCCUAAAAAUUAUAAAUUUAUAGUAAGACUUGUUUACAAAUUGGUGAAAUGAUUUAACUGAUAAAAAUAAAACUACAAUUAACACGAAGUUUAUACUUACUCUGUCUAUAUUAUUAAAAACUCUUUAGCUCUGAAUCAAAGAAAUCUCAUCAUCCAUACGUAACGAAUUGAUAUGGUAUAUUCAUAUCAUACUAUAUGAAUAGUAAGAAUUAGUAGGCAUUCAUGCUUAAGUUUUGUUUCGUUAUGAAUAUUUUUUUACUAUUGUACCAAAAAAACCUCUAUCUCCAUUUAAAAUGUGGAUAAAUCUUUGGGAUAAUGUCAGAGGUCCUAUAAACUCUGUCAUUUUGUUUGGAAAGAUCCUUAAUGUUUUUUAUUUUUAUAGUAUGAGGUUUUAAAGUCCAUUUUCCCUUGGUAAAAAAGGUCAUUUGAAAAAAAAAAUGGAAAGUUACCUUUGUCAUGUCAUUAAUAAGAUAGUCAACAUGGAUUUAACAUUUGUGAAGAAUUUCUUUUUCCAUAUAUUUUUUUCUAUUUUAUUUAGGGGUUGGCUAAAAAGACACAUUAUUUUUCCAUUUAGACACCAUAUUUGAUUUUUAAGGUUGUUUUAUUGGUUGAAUUUGUAUUGUUUUUCGGAAAAGUAAUUAUAAACAAUUUAUUAUAGGUUGAUUUUUAAUAAAAAUGUUGAUAGGGUGUUUAACGGGUGUCUUAAUAGCAACACCUUUUUUUUAUUUUGAAAUUAGAAUGGCCCACCCUACCUCCUAACCCCCUCGUAUCUCUUCAUCUUCAUCCCUAUAUCAUAUAGCUGUCUUGGCUUCAUAUUCUUGUUAAACAUAGCAAAAAUAUAUCCAUAAAUUUAACUUUUUGUGAACAAAGAUAAUGAAUGACCCAGAAACAUGGCUACCACACUCAUUCCUAUUUUUGCUCCAAAAACUCCAUUCCAUGCGCAAUUGAAACUGCUAUCGCCGUUAUUAAUAUCAUCUUCAAAGUAUUCUCUAUUGAUCGUGAGUUGCAGAUUAUAUAUGUAAUUUGGUAUUUUUUCCAUAAUUGAUUUCUUU
This is a non-coding RNA of Lactuca sativa (garden lettuce), 1496 nucleotides long. Lineage: Eukaryota; Viridiplantae; Streptophyta; Magnoliopsida; Asterales; Asteraceae. The record is from RefSeq and is a predicted model, not a curated record.